Regulatory RNA element from Firmicutes bacterium CAG:631, 74 nucleotides. Lineage: Bacteria; Bacillati; Bacillota. The record is from Rfam.
UUUAGGGUACAACCGCUCAAAAAAGGUUAUAAGUGAAAAAUAUCCACCUUUAUUUGGCGAGGCAUAAAGCAAAA